Molecule: ribosomal RNA, 254 nt
Filed under: uncultured bacterium
Lineage: Bacteria
Description: partial 16S ribosomal RNA
Rfam family: Bacterial small subunit ribosomal RNA
Source: RNAcentral
UACAGAGGUCUCAAGCGUUGUUCGGAUUCAUUGGGCGUAAAGGGUGCGUAGGCGGCGCGGUAAGUCGGGUGUGAAAUCUCGGGGCUUAACUCCGAAACUGCAUUCGAUACUACCGUGCUUGAGGACUGGAGAGGAGACUGGAAUUUACGGUGUAGCGGUGAAAUGCGUAGAUAUCGUAAGGAAGACCAGUGGCGAAGGCGGGUCUCUGGACAGUUCCUGACGCUGAGGCACGAAGGCCAGGGGGAGCAAACGGG